CUUACUCAAGAAAUCAAACAAGCAACCAUGUUUCUAUAGAGCUUUAUUAAUUCAAUGAUACAUAUAUUAUAAAAAAUUACAUUGUUUGCAAACUGAUAUGUGUCACAUAUUAAUGCCAAAAUAACAUGCAAAACAAGCAAGCCACCAUUUUUGGGUGGGAUUUGAUUUAUGUUGGUAAAGAUUUGGGGCUCAUAACAGCUCCACCUGCCCUGAAUCACUGCACCCAUAAGUGAUUCGUUGAGAGCCCUGCAAUAAUGAGGCUGGUCGACCCCACACUCUUGAGUGUUGGGCCAAGAGCUCUGACAUACAGAAACCAACAGAGGUCUCAUAUAGUAAACCUAUUAAUGCUUAGUCAUGGCUGGUUCCACCACAACUGACUCAAUGUGUCGAACCAACACAUAUCUAGUGGAUGAGGUGGCCAACUAGUCAGAAUCCUCUGUGUUCUCUUACGAGACCCAAGAACUGUUGGUUCUUAGAAUAGAGGAUGAGGAGAGACUUUGUUCGGAACAGACAAGAUGUGCACAGCCGUGGUGAAUUAGGUACAGAGUUAUGUGAAAACAGCCAUUUACACAACCAGAGUAACACGAGAUGUGGACAGCCGUGGUGAAUUACGUACGGAUUUAUGUGAAAACAACAAUUUAUGCAACCAGAGUAACACGAUUGUACACACCUAUCAUUUAAAGUAAUGCAACUACACAUUUUUCAUACCAAACACCCUGGAUAGAGAGGUUUACACACUAGAGAGAUAUUCAUACCAAACACCCUGGAUAGAGAGGUUUACACACUAGAGAGAUAUUCAUACCAAACACCCUGGAUAGAGGUGUUUACACACUAGAGAGAUAUUCAUACCAAACACCCUGGAUAGAGAGGUUUACACACUAGAGAGAUAUUCAUACCAAACACCCUGGAUAGAGAGGUUUACACACUAGAGAGAUAUUCAUACCAAACACCCUGGAUAGAGAG
Oncorhynchus tshawytscha (Chinook salmon) is the source of this 963-nucleotide long non-coding RNA. The record is from Ensembl. NCBI's taxonomy places the organism in Eukaryota, Metazoa, Chordata, Actinopteri, Salmoniformes, Salmonidae.